CCUACGGGAGGCUGCAGUGGGGAAUAUUGCACAAUGGGGGAAACCCUGAAGCAGCCAAGCCGCGUGAGGGAAGACGGUCUUAGGAUUGGUAACUUCCGUUCUUAGUGAAGCAUAAUGACGGUAGCUAGGGCGCAAGCCAAGGGUAAAUACGUGCAAGCAGCGGCGGUAAUACGUAGGUGGCAGGCGUUGUACGGAAUUACUGGGUGUAAAGGGUGCGCAGGCGGGAAGUCUAGUCAGCUGUGAAAACUACGGGCUUAACUUGGAGACUGCAGUUGAAACUGGGUUUCGUGAGUGAAGUAGAGGUAGGCGGAAUGCGGGGUGUAGCGGUGAAAUGCGUAGAUA
RNAcentral lists this ribosomal RNA (342 nucleotides) under uncultured bacterium. RNAcentral describes it as "partial 16S ribosomal RNA". It matches the Rfam family "Bacterial small subunit ribosomal RNA", at positions 338 to 696 of the family's 1533-position model. The record is from RNAcentral.